Molecule: transfer RNA, 39 nt
Filed under: Gerrhonotus liocephalus
Lineage: Eukaryota; Metazoa; Chordata; Lepidosauria; Squamata; Anguidae
Description: partial tRNA-Leu
Source: RNAcentral
CUUUUAAAGGGUAGUAGUUAUCCACUGGCUUUAGACGCC